GGAAGGAUCAUCAUUCACCAAAUGAGCAAUAGGGAGCCGUCAAAAGCUCUAUACCAAACUAUUGUUCAUGGCUUUAAUUAGCCAUUUGAGUAUAAUUGUUGAUAAUGGGUUAAGCGUCGCACCAAUGAAACACCUCUGCAAAGAGAACGCUAUAAAUUGAACCCCUCAACUAGCGUGUUUCAUGGAAAGGAUUGAGCGUCAGCUCUCCGAGUGCCCGCAUGUAAUCGGCAAGGUAGUUAGGUUGUCUGAAAAGACGGCUUAUCCUAUCAUGUGGAUUCAAACUUAUAGUGGGGAUCUGUAGGCCUGACGACGGUCCGGUGACACCCUAUACCCGUUAAAUCGCGGAUAGGACACCCACGGUUAGCCCGUCCUUCAUAUGAGGUCAGUCUUCGGACUCGCCCUAUGGUAUGACUGCUAUAAGGAUAAGCUCCACCCUCCGGGGUCGCACUUACAACUGGGCCACUUACCUCUUUACAAGGCGUUCGCGUCUUCAGGGUAAUGCUGGGUUGCCGCACUAGAGCUCUACUGGCGAUUUCAAUAUGAUCGGGCGGUGAAAAAAACGCUGACUAUUGUUUGGCCUUUAGUAGCGGCUAGUGGAAGUUAUGUCAUUGCAAUGCCAUAGGGCACGAAAGUGCCAGCAUAGCGUAGGGCCUUCGCGAUAUGGUUUCGAUCAUAGACGCUAAGUUGAAGGGAUCAACCUUCUCGUCCUUGACUAUGGCUAAUGAUAUAAACAACCUAUAUUCGUUUGUUACCUUUGGGUUUCAUUCGGAUAUUAACAAAACCGAGUAAGUCCCUUAACGAUGGAUGCCUCGGCUCGUGAAGCGAUGAAGGACGCAGCUAGGUGCGAUAAGCACUGUGAAUUGCAGAAUUCCGCGAACCAGUAGAUCUCUGAACGCAUUAUGCGCGAAUGGAUUUAUUCCAUUUGCAGGUGUGUGUCAGCGUUUACUAUGUAAAAUCGCAUAGCAAUAUGCAGCGUGAGACUAUCAAAUUUAUUUGGUUAUCUCAGUUUCGUGAGAUAUUCUCUUAAGUGGGAAUGCUCGCAUGAUAUAGGCGGCUUAAGGAUCUAUGUUCGCAUUGAUCAUUAAGUCAUAAGUAAGACAACAAGUCCCUUUCGCUUUGUGAAAGGAUUUUUGUUAAGGUCUAAUUUGGUUUACCAUUUUAGUUCCAGAGCAAUAUCCAAAUCACGUCGCACCAUAUGUAAUGUAUGGCAUAAAGAUGACAAUGUUGACUUCAUUAACUUGAACCUGAUACACACCAGACAACCCGCUGAAUUUAAGCAUAUAAGUAAGCGGAGGAAAAGAAACUAACUAGGAUUCCCCCAGUAAUGGCGAAUGAACAGGGAAGAGCUCAAUGCCCAAUCGGUCACUCUGUGAUCGAAAUGUGGUUUUGGUAGCACACCAGUGGUGACUCUGAUGUAAGUCCCUUGGAACAGGGCGCCAUAGAGGGUGAUGGCCCCGUUCAUCAUCAGAAGAUCGCUCACGUACGGUUGUUACUUAAUGAGUCGCGUUCCUUGGGAUUGUAGCGCAAAUAUGGGUGGUAAAUUCCAUCCAAAGCUAAAUAUGACCACGAGACCGAUAGCAAACAAGUACCAUGAGGGAAAGGUUAAAAGAGCUCUGAAAAGAGGGUUAAAAGUGCCUGAAAUCGUUAAGGGGGAAGCGAAUGCCAGCUGUUGAAUUUGCGUUCUUGAGGAUUGUGCUUGUUGCUUGUGGUUAUUGUUCAGUCACUUUGGGCAAACUGGGUGGCUGUUCAAUGUACGCUUGUGCUGGUGCGUUUCCUUUUGAGCGUGAUCAGUGCAAUCUUUGAUGUGGGCAGUUACCUUGUUACUGGGUAGUUAACUUCGGUUUUCGACUCGUUUCAGGGGAAUCCUAUGUUGGAGGUUAGGAAUGUGUUGUAACUUAACUGGUGGCAGUUGCUAUGAUUUCGCUGCUAUUCGUCGCUUGCGACGAUUAGUGGUGUCACUGUGGUAACCUGUUGCCAGCAGUUAUUCACAAGGCAUUGAUACCAACGGCGGUAUUUGUCCCGUCUUGAAACACGGACCAAGGAGUCUAACCUGUAUGCGAGUCUAAGGGUGUUAAACCCACGGGCGAAAUGAAAGUGAUUGGAGUGAUUAUUGCCUUCGGGUGAUAUGAUACUCUGGCCGACCUUGAUCUUCGGUGAGAGGUUUGAGUAUGAGCAUACCUGUUAGGACCCGAAAGAUGGUGAACUAUGCCUGAGUAGGGUGAAGCCAGGGGAAACUCUGGUGGAGGCUCGUAGCGAUACUGACGUGCAAAUCGUUCGUCAAACUUGGGUAUAGGGGCGAAAGACUAAUCGAACCAUCUAGUAGCUGGUUCCCUC
Molecule: unclassified non-coding RNA, 2334 nt
Filed under: uncultured fungus
Lineage: Eukaryota; Fungi
Description: sequence contains 18S rRNA gene, ITS1, 5.8S rRNA gene, ITS2, 28S rRNA gene
Rfam family: Eukaryotic large subunit ribosomal RNA (bases 1240-2334)
Source: RNAcentral